AGCAGCCGCGGUAAUUCCAGCUCCAAUAGCGUAUAUUAAAGUUGUUGCAGUUAAAAAGCUCGUAGUUGAAUUUCGGGAUCAAUUUAUUGGUCGUGCUAUUGUACGUACUGGUAUUAUUGAUUUCUACCUUCUGACGAACCAUGAUGUCAUUAAUUUGGUGUCUUGGGGAAUCAGGACUGUUACUUUGAAAAAAUUAGAGUGUUUAAAGCAGGCUCACGCUUGAAUACAUUAGCAUGGAAUAACGAAAUAGGACGUUUGAUUCUAUUUUGUUGGUUUCUAGGAUCGACGUAAUGAUUAAUAGGGAUAGUUGGGGGCAUUAGUAUUCAAUUGUCAGAGGUGAAAUUCUUGGAUUUAUUGAAGACUAACUACUGCGAAAGCAUUUGCCAAGGAUGUUUUCAUUAAUCAAGAACGAAAGUUAGGGGAUCGAAGACGAUCAGAUACCGUCGUAGUCUUAACCAUAAACUAUGCCGACUAGGGAUCGGAUGAUGUUAAUUUUUUAAUGACUCAUUCGGCGCCUUAA
Molecule: ribosomal RNA, 520 nt
Filed under: uncultured Glomus
Lineage: Eukaryota; Fungi; Glomeromycota; Glomeromycetes; Glomerales; Glomeraceae
Description: SSU rRNA
Rfam family: Eukaryotic small subunit ribosomal RNA
Source: RNAcentral